GAUGAACGCUGGCGGCGUGCCUAAUACAUGCAAGUCGAGCGAACAGAUGAGGAGCUUGCUCCUCUGACGUUAGCGGCGGACGGGUGAGUAACACGUGGAUAACCUACCUAUAAGACUGGGAUAACUUCGGGAAGCCGGAGCUAAUACCGGAUAAUAUAUUGAACCGCAUGGUUCAAUAGUGAAAGACGGUUUUGCUGUCACUUAUAGAUGGAUCCGCGCCGCAUUAGCUAGUUGGUAAGGUAACGGCUUACCAAGGCAACGAUGCGUAGCCGACCUGAGAGGGUGAUCGGCCACACUGGAACUGAGAAACGGUCCAGACUCCUACGGGAGGAAGCAGUAGGGAAUCUUCCGCAAUGGGCGAAAGCCUGACGGAGCAACGCCGCGGGAGUGAUGAAGGUCUUCGGAUCGUAAACCUCUGUUAUUAGGGAAGAACAAAUGUGUAAGUAACUAUGCCCGUCUUGACGGUACCAAACAAGAAAGCCACGGCUAACUACGU
RNAcentral lists this ribosomal RNA (496 nucleotides) under uncultured bacterium. Its description in RNAcentral is "partial 16S ribosomal RNA". It matches the Rfam family "Bacterial small subunit ribosomal RNA", at positions 28 to 506 of the family's 1533-position model. The record is from RNAcentral.